Molecule: non-coding RNA, 125 nt
Filed under: Leptotrombidium deliense
Lineage: Eukaryota; Metazoa; Arthropoda; Arachnida; Trombidiformes; Trombiculidae
Description: U4atac minor spliceosomal RNA
Rfam family: U4atac minor spliceosomal RNA
About the family: U4atac is an essential component of the minor U12-type spliceosome complex which is required for removal of the rarer class of eukaryotic introns (AT-AC, U12-type).
Source: Rfam by way of RNAcentral
GCCGUCCUCGUCGAGUGGGAGAUGACUGUUCAGUGAACGUUAAGUGAGGGCAGUCAUGCUGAUCCACAGUACAAUCGCAUCAUGCAGUCGCAUUGCGACUGAUUUUUGAUGCAAUUUUUGAAACC